UACGUAGGGUGCAAGCGUUGUCCGGAAUUAUUGGGCGUAAAGAGCUCGUAGGCGGUCUGUUGCGUCGGCUGUGAAAACCCGGGGCUCAACUCCGGGCCUGCAGCCGAUACGGGCAGACUAGAGUGUGGUAGGGGAGACUGGAAUUCCUGGUGUAGCGGUGAAAUGCGCAGAUAUCAGGAGGAACACCGAUGGCGAAGGCAGGUCUCUGGGCCACUACUGACGCUGAGAAGCGAAAGCAUGGGGAGCGAACAGG
RNAcentral lists this ribosomal RNA (253 nucleotides) under uncultured bacterium. Its description in RNAcentral is "partial 16S ribosomal RNA". It matches the Rfam family "Bacterial small subunit ribosomal RNA", at positions 524 to 776 of the family's 1533-position model. The record is from RNAcentral.